RNAcentral lists this ribosomal RNA (802 nucleotides) under uncultured Antarctic cyanobacterium. RNAcentral's name for it is "bacterial SSU rRNA". It matches the Rfam family "Bacterial small subunit ribosomal RNA", at positions 8 to 852 of the family's 1533-position model. The record is from RNAcentral. Lineage: Bacteria; Bacillati; Cyanobacteriota.
AGAGUUUGAUCCUGGCUCAGGAUGAGCGCUGGCGGUCUGCUUAACACAUGCAAGUCGAACGGAGUACUUCGGUACUUAGUGGCGGACGGGUGAGUAACGCGUGAGGAUCUGCCCUCAGGAGGGGGACAACGACUGGAAACGGUCGCUAAUACCCCAUAUGCCGAGAGGUGAAAUGUUUUUUCGCCUGAGGAUGAGCUCGCGUCAGAUUAGCUAGUUGGUGGGGUAACGGCCUACCAAGGCGACGAUCUGUAGCUGGUCUGAGAGGAUGAUCAGCCACACUGGGACUGAGACACGGCCCAGACUCCUACGGGAGGCAGCAGUGGGGAAUUUUCCGCAAUGGGCGAAAGCCUGACGGAGCAAGACCGCGUGAGGGAUGACGGCCUAAUGGUUGUAAACCUCUUUUCUCUGGGAAGAUAAUGACGGUACCAGAGGAAUAAGCCUCGGCUAACUCCGUGCCAGCAGCCGCGGUAAUACGGAGGAGGCAAGCGUUAUCCGGAAUUAUUGGGCGUAAAGCGUCCGUAGGUGGUUAAUCAAGUCAGCUGUUAAAGAGCGGAGCUCAACUCCGUUAGAGCGGUUGAAACUGAUUGACUAGAGUUUGGUAGGGGUCGAGGGAAUUCCCAGUGUAGCGGUGAAAUGCGUAGAUAUUGGGAAGAACACCGGUGGCGAAAGCGCUCGACUGGGCCUGAACUGACACUGAGGGACGAAAGCUAGGGGAGCGAAAGGGAUUAGAUACCCCUGUAGUCCUAGCCGUAAACGAUGGAUACUAGGUGUUGCUCGUUAUCGACCCGAGCCGUGCCGAAGC